This 27-nucleotide non-coding RNA is filed under the name Mus musculus (house mouse). Lineage: Eukaryota; Metazoa; Chordata; Mammalia; Rodentia; Muridae. The record is from RNAcentral.
UGAUGAAGCAAUGCAAAACUCUAGAGA